This 274-nucleotide ribosomal RNA is filed under the name uncultured bacterium. RNAcentral's name for it is "partial 16S ribosomal RNA". It matches the Rfam family "Bacterial small subunit ribosomal RNA", at positions 523 to 796 of the family's 1533-position model. The record is from RNAcentral.
AUACGGAGGGUGCAAGCGUUGUUCGGAAUCACUGGGCGUAAAGGGCGCGCAGGCGGUUUGGUAAGUCAGAUGUGAAAGCCCACGGCUCAACCGUGGAAGUGCAUUUGAAACUGUCAGACUUGAGUACCAGAGGGGAAAGUGGAAUUCCCGGUGUAGAGGUGAAAUGCGUAGAUAUCGGGAGGAAUACCGGUGGCGAAGGCGACUUUCUGGCUGGAUACUGACGCUGAGGCGCGAAAGCGUGGGGAGCAAACAGGAUUAGAAACCCUAGUAGUCC